RNAcentral lists this small RNA (107 nucleotides) under Marmota monax (woodchuck). The record is from RNAcentral. Lineage: Eukaryota; Metazoa; Chordata; Mammalia; Rodentia; Sciuridae.
GCCUGGUGUGGUGGCACACACCUGUAAUCCCAGCUACUUGGGAGGCUGAGGCAGGAGGAUUGCAAAUUUGAGGCCAGUCUCAGCAACAUAGCGAGAUUCCAUUUCAG